GUGUGUAUGGUGUAAAUAACACAUUAGCUUUUCAUGCUAAAAAUAUGUCCCUAUAUUACACAC
RNAcentral lists this transfer RNA (63 nucleotides) under Pheretima confusa. RNAcentral's name for it is "tRNA-Glu". Lineage: Eukaryota; Metazoa; Annelida; Clitellata; Crassiclitellata; Megascolecidae. The record is from RNAcentral.